RNAcentral lists this ribosomal RNA (641 nucleotides) under uncultured Pelobacter sp. Its description in RNAcentral is "bacterial SSU rRNA". It matches the Rfam family "Bacterial small subunit ribosomal RNA", at positions 897 to 1533 of the family's 1533-position model. Lineage: Bacteria; Pseudomonadati; Thermodesulfobacteriota; Desulfuromonadia; Desulfuromonadales; Desulfuromonadaceae. The record is from RNAcentral.
AAACUCAAAUGAAUUGACGGGGGCCCGCACAAGCGGUGGAGCAUGUGGUUUAAUUCGACGCAACGCGAAGAACCUUACCUGGGCUUGACAUCCCGAUCGCACUUUAUGGAAACAUAGAGGUCAGUUCGGCUGGAUCGGUGACAGGUGCUGCAUGGCUGUCGUCAGCUCGUGUCGUGAGAUGUUGGGUUAAGUCCCGCAACGAGCGCAACCCUUGUCCUUAGUUGCCAUCAUUUAGUUGGGCACUCUAGGGAGACUGCCGGUGUUAAACCGGAGGAAGGUGGGGAUGACGUCAAGUCCUCAUGGCCCUUAUGUCCAGGGCUACACACGUGCUACAAUGGCCGGUACAAAGGGCAGCGAUACCGCGAGGUGGAGCUAAUCCCAAAAAGCCGGUCUCAGUUCGGAUUGGAGUCUGCAACUCGACUCCAUGAAGUUGGAAUCGCUAGUAAUCGCGUAUCAGCAUGACGCGGUGAAUACGUUCCCGGGCCUUGUACACACCGCCCGUCACACCACGGGAGUCGAUUGUACCGGAAACCGGUGGGCCAACCUUCGGGAGGCAGCCGUUUAUGGUAUGGUCGGUAACUGGGGUGAAGUCGUAACAAGGUAUCCGUACCGGAAGGUGCGGAUGGAUCACCUCCUUUCUG